Molecule: long non-coding RNA, 221 nt
Organism: Tarenaya hassleriana
Lineage: Eukaryota; Viridiplantae; Streptophyta; Magnoliopsida; Brassicales; Cleomaceae
Exons: 2
Source: RefSeq, a predicted model, not a curated record
AGGGCAUUCGUGAGUUUGGGACCGAUCUGUCAAUGAUACAACAACUAUUUCCUGAUAGGACACGUGAGCAGAUCAAACUGAAAUACAAGUUGGAAGAACGACGACAUCCAAUGAAGCUUAAUGAUGCUAUUGCUACUCGUGCAAAACAUCACCAUCAUUAUCACGACGUGAUUAAGAAGCUUCAAGAAGCGGCUACUCAAGCAGCCCGGGAAGCCAAUGAA